GAUGAACGCUGGCGGCGUGCCUAACACAUGCAAGUCGAGCGAACAAACGAGAAGAUUGUUCCCCUUCUUUUAGCGACGGACGGAAGAGUAACAAGUCGAUAACCUACUUAUAAUCCGGGGCUAAUUACGGUAAACAGCAGCUAAUACCGCAUAAUAUGUUUAACUGCAUGGAUCAACAGCGUUAAAGGGCUUUGCCGUUACUUUUAGAUGCAGCCGCGCCCGAUCAGCUGCUGGGUAAGGUAACGCCCUAUCCACGCUACGAAGCGUAGCCGACCUGAGAGGAUGAUCAGCCACAGUGGAACUGAGACACGGUCCAGACUCCUACGGGAGGCAGCAGUGGGAAAUGUUCAAGAAUGGGCGGAAGCCUGAUACAGCAACGCCGCGUGCGUGAUGAAGGGCUUCGGAUCGUAAAGCACUGUUAUUAGGGAAGAAAAGAAGGGAAAGAAGAACCGCCCGUCUUGACGUUACCUAAUCAGUAAGCCACGGCUAACUACGUG
This 497-nucleotide ribosomal RNA is filed under the name uncultured bacterium. RNAcentral's name for it is "partial 16S ribosomal RNA". It matches the Rfam family "Bacterial small subunit ribosomal RNA", at positions 28 to 507 of the family's 1533-position model. The record is from RNAcentral.